UGGUUUAAAAUUUAAAUUUUAUUUUGGUUUACUUUUUUAUUAUUUAGUUUAAUAUCAUAUGUAAAAUUAACAAUAAAAAUGCUAAAAAUUUAAUAUUAUAUGGGCUUUUUAUAUUUUAAAAUUAAUUGUCAAUGUUAAACAUUAUAUAUAAAUAAAAGUUUUAUAUAGAAAUCUAAAAAUAAUUGGUUAAAUUUGUGCCAGCAUCCGCGGUUAGACUGUGAAAUUAAAAUAAAAAUAUAUUGGUUAAAUAGAGUUUAGUAAUGUAAAAGUAAAGAUAAAUAAUAUGAAAUUGUCAUAAAAAAGGUGAAAUUUAUUAUUGAAGAAAUUCAUUUUAUUGAAUUUAAAAUAAACCAAACUCAAAAAUCCUGGAGAUAAAGCAGGAUUAGAUACCCUGUUAUACCUUUAUUUGUUAAAAAUACCAAAUAAUUAAAUAGUUAUAUUCUUUAAAUUUAAAAAAUGUGGCGGUGUUUAAUCUUAUUAGAGGAACUUGUUUCUUAAAUCGACAAUCCACGAACAAUCUUAUCUUAUUUUGUAAUAAACCAGUUUGUAUAUCUUCAUUUAAAAAUAAUUCCCUAAGGUGUAAUUAUUAAAAUAAAAUAAUUUAAAACAUUAGAUCAACAUGCAGCUAAUAAUAAGAGGAAAAUGAGUUACAAUUAAUUAAAUUUAUUUGAUAAAGAACAAAUAUAAAAGGAUUUAUAAGUAAUAAGUUUUUAAUAAGAACUUAUGACAUAAAGUUCUAAAACAUGUACAUAUUGCCCGUCGUCCUCUUGUACAAAAGGGGUAAGUCGUAACAUAGUAGAAAUAUUGGAAAAUGUUUCUAGAAAUAAAU
RNAcentral lists this non-coding RNA (829 nucleotides) under Belzebub intermedius. Lineage: Eukaryota; Metazoa; Arthropoda; Malacostraca; Decapoda; Luciferidae. The record is from RNAcentral.